UUUAUAAAAUAUGCAUUCCUCUUCACUAUGUUACAGCCUUUAAAGCUGAAAACAAUUGGAAUCACAACUUACUUUUGGCACCCAUCCAUGGACAUUUCAGAGCGCACACGUGUCGACAGUUACCGCUUUGGCCACUGGGGGCAGUGUUUCUCAUUUAGGACACACGCUUUCCAAACACAGUUCUGACCUCGGAUGAUUUCUUGCGCUUUGCUGCAGUGACACUGACAGACUAAAAAAAGACUGAUCUUUCAAAUCAACAAGGUGAAGAUUGUAGACUCUGGGAUUGAUGCUAAGGAAACACAUCUCUUAUGUGAUGAAACUGGCCUGUGUACUGGACCCACAGUUGAACUUCUUGGAAGAGGCUGACUCAAUCCCUGCAAUCAAAAGACAGCUAG
Molecule: long non-coding RNA, 395 nt
Organism: Xyrauchen texanus (razorback sucker)
Lineage: Eukaryota; Metazoa; Chordata; Actinopteri; Cypriniformes; Catostomidae
Exons: 3
Source: RefSeq, a predicted model, not a curated record